This 378-nucleotide ribosomal RNA is filed under the name Triticum aestivum (bread wheat). Its description in RNAcentral is "partial small subunit ribosomal RNA". The record is from RNAcentral. Lineage: Eukaryota; Viridiplantae; Streptophyta; Magnoliopsida; Poales; Poaceae.
AUGGUGGUGGUGGCGACCGCGAGCCCCGGCGGGCCCGAGGCGCUGCAGGUGCGCGAGGUCGAGGACCUCCCGGCGCCGGGGGAGGGCGAGGUGCUUGUCGGGGUGGCCGCCGCCGGCGUCAAUCGCGGCGACACGGUCCAGUGGCAGGGCCGGUACCCGCCGCCUCGCCCGACCCGGGGCUCGAGUGCUCCGGCACCAUCGUUGCUCUCGGGGCCGCGCUGGGCCGUCGUGCUUACCGGCGGCGGGUAUGCGGAGAAGGUGGUGGUUCCGGCAGGGCAGCUGCUCCCGGUGACGGAGGGGGCGUCGCUGACUGACAGCCCGAGGUGGCCUCCACCGCCUGGUCCACCAUUUUCAUGCCAGUCACCUCUCCCUCGGUGA